UACGUAUGGUGCAAGCGUUAUCCGGAUUUACUGGGUGUAAAGGGAGCGCAGGCGGCACGGCAAGCCUGAUGUGAAAGCCCGCGGCCCAACCGCGGGACUGCAUUGGGAACUACCGGGCUGGAGUGCCGGAGAGGUAGGCGGAAUUCCUAGUGUAGCGGUGAAAUGCGUAGAUAUUAGGAGGAACACCAGUGGCGAAGGCGGCCUACUGGACGGUGACCGACGCUGAGGCUCGAAAGCGUGGGGAGCAAACAGG
Molecule: ribosomal RNA, 253 nt
Filed under: uncultured bacterium
Lineage: Bacteria
Description: partial 16S ribosomal RNA
Rfam family: Bacterial small subunit ribosomal RNA
Source: RNAcentral